GAUGAACGCUGGCGGCGUGCCUAAUACAUGCAAGUCGAGCGAACAGACGAGGAGCUUGCUCCUCUGACGUUAGCGGCGGACGGGUGAGUAACACGUGGAUAACCUACCUAUAAGACUGGGAUAAAUUCGGGAAACCGGAGCUAAUACCGGAUAAUAUAUUGAACCGCAUGGUUCAAUAGUGAAAGACGGUUUUGCUGUCACUUAUAGAUGGAUCCGCGCCGCAUUAGCUAGUUGGUAAGGUAACGGCUUACCAAGGCAACGAUGCGUAGCCGACCUGAGAGGGUGAUAGGCCACACUGGAACUGAGACGCGGUCCAGACUCCUACGGGAGGCAGCAGUAGGGAAUCUUCCGCCAUGGGCGAAAGCCUGACGGAGCAACGCCGCGUGAGUGAUGAAGGUCUUCGGAUCGUAAAACUCUGUUAUUAGGGAAGAACAAAUGUGUAAGUAACUAUGCACGUCUUGACGGUACCUAAUCAGAAAGCCACGGCUAACUACGUG
Molecule: ribosomal RNA, 497 nt
Filed under: uncultured bacterium
Lineage: Bacteria
Description: partial 16S ribosomal RNA
Rfam family: Bacterial small subunit ribosomal RNA
Source: RNAcentral